CACACUAUCGUUAAGUGAAUACAUAGCUUAACGAAGCGAACCAGGGGAACUGAAACAUCUAAGUACCCUGAGGAAAAGAAAUCAACCGAGAUUCCCCCAGUAGCGGCGAGCGAACGGGGAGCAGCCCAGAGUCUGAAUCAGCAUGUGUGUCAGUGGAAGCGUCUGGAAAGUCGCAGGGUACAGGGUGAUACUCCCGUACACGAAGAUGCAU
RNAcentral lists this non-coding RNA (211 nucleotides) under Onchocerca ochengi. RNAcentral describes it as "Bacterial large subunit ribosomal RNA". It matches the Rfam family "Bacterial large subunit ribosomal RNA", at positions 144 to 390 of the family's 2925-position model. The record is from Rfam by way of RNAcentral. Lineage: Eukaryota; Metazoa; Nematoda; Chromadorea; Rhabditida; Onchocercidae.